Molecule: long non-coding RNA, 1313 nt
Filed under: Piliocolobus tephrosceles (Ugandan red Colobus)
Lineage: Eukaryota; Metazoa; Chordata; Mammalia; Primates; Cercopithecidae
Description: lncRNA (ENSPTEG00000018421.1)
Source: RNAcentral
UUGGAAUAGUUAUUUUAAUAUACAGUCAUAUAUGCUUUUAAAAUGAAAAAUCUAUCAGUGUUUUUCCUCCUUUUUUUUCUUUUAUAUAUUGAACAAGUUUUAGGAAAUGCUGUUUUACUUACUAGCAAUAAUAACCCUACACACCAUCAACACGGACAUACAGGAAGCAAGCCAAAAGUUGAUGUACAUAGUUUAAUUAAAGAUCUUAUAGCAAAGGAAGAUGAAGUGGCUGAUUUAGAGAAAUCAAAUUUAAAAUGUAAAAUUAUUGCUACGGUUUUGGGAAUACUAGCUACUAUUGCAUCAGUCGUUGCUGGUGUUCUGGCAUAUAAAUGUGCCUUUAAAAAAGGAGAGAGACAAUAUAAAAGCGGUUUUGAUGGUACUAAUGAUGAUGGUGGUAGUGGUGAUGGUGUUGGAGGUGGUAGUGGUGAUGGCAGUGGUAGCAGUGGUAGUGGUGGAGAUAACAUAACUCCACUAUUGUCAGAUAAAUGAUGUAAAAUAUGUGCUGAUACAAAGAUAAACACGUAAGGUUUAUGUAUAUAUGGGCUUUGGUAUAUGUAUAGUGAUUAACAUAAACACACGUACAAUACAUAGUUAAUCAUAAAAUUUUCUUUAUAUUUUUGGUAUAAUUUGGUAUAUAUAUGUAAUUUUCAUUUCUCAUUUAUUUUACUAAGAUCUUAUUUUUUUAAUUUUUAUUUUUAUAGUGAUAGGAAUAAUUUAGGAAAUAGGACCUUUAAUUUAUAUAACUUGGCUACCUACAAAGUAUAUUUUAUAUUAAUUGUUAGGUUUUCAAACACGCCAGUAUAUAUUUUUUUAUUAUUAAUAUAAAGAAAUGUUGCAUGUACAUAUAUAUAAGCACUUAUUUUGUAAAAGUUACUGCUUCUUUUAAGAUAAUAAUGUGUUUUUUUUUUUUUUUUUUAUAAUAAUUUUUUUUUUUUUUUUAUAUUGUACUAAUGAAAUGUAUUUGGUUGUAGUGAUUUUAACGGUAUAUAUACAUAUAUUCAUUUAUUUAUUGUUAUUUUUUUUUUUUCUAUAUUUAUUUUUACUUAUCUAGUAAUUUUUUUUAAUUUUAAUUAAUUUUUAUAUUGAUUUUUUUAUAUACUACUAUUAUUAUUAUUACUAUUAUUAUUUUAUUUGAUAUUUCUUUUAAUUUUAAUUUUUGGCAUAUUUUACUAUUUAAAAGGAUUUUUAUUUUAUAUAAAACUGUUUGAUGGGUAGUGUUUCUCUUCUUUUAUUAAUUUUUAUUUAUUAAGAAUUAUAUUAAAUGAUAUGUAAAAAAAAAUAAAAAAAAUAAAAUUCAGUUUUUUUUCUUCUUU